Molecule: long non-coding RNA, 111 nt
Organism: Melanotaenia boesemani (Boeseman's rainbowfish)
Lineage: Eukaryota; Metazoa; Chordata; Actinopteri; Atheriniformes; Melanotaeniidae
Exons: 3
Source: RefSeq, a predicted model, not a curated record
GCUGCUGAAAGUUCAUCACAUCAACAUUCUGGAACAAACAACAAGAAGAUGCUGGAGUCCAGAACACACAGCUGGUCAACAUGUGACAUCACACUGACUCCACUCUGACAU